UUGACCUCGGAUCAGGU
RNAcentral lists this ribosomal RNA (17 nucleotides) under Aspergillus giganteus. Its description in RNAcentral is "partial 28S ribosomal RNA". The record is from RNAcentral. RNAcentral also lists the same sequence under 78 other names. Lineage: Eukaryota; Fungi; Ascomycota; Eurotiomycetes; Eurotiales; Aspergillaceae.